RNAcentral lists this microRNA precursor (97 nucleotides) under Rosa chinensis. Lineage: Eukaryota; Viridiplantae; Streptophyta; Magnoliopsida; Rosales; Rosaceae. The record is from RNAcentral.
AGAGCAAAGGUGAGCCAAGGACGACUUGUCUGAGGAUUUUAUCCCAAGCGAUGAGGCGUAUAUCAGGCAAGUCAUCCUUGGCUCAUUUCUACUCUCU